This 85-nucleotide non-coding RNA is filed under the name Streptococcus pyogenes. Its description in RNAcentral is "S. pyogenes small RNA 779816". It matches the Rfam family "S. pyogenes small RNA 779816". The record is from RNAcentral. RNAcentral also lists the same sequence under 5 other names. Lineage: Bacteria; Bacillati; Bacillota; Bacilli; Lactobacillales; Streptococcaceae.
GUAAAGAGACCUACUGCGAAGCAGGUUUUUACUAUACUAGAUUCGCCUCACGCUCUCCUCGCCAAAUUUGAGCGUGGGGCUUUUU